GCAAACUACGGGCCAGGUGCGGGGGUAGUACGUGGGGUCCGGGCGUUGUACGGAAUUAUUGUGGGUAAAGGGCGCGUAGGCGGUCUGUUGCGUCGGGAGGGAAAUCCUCCAGCUUAACUGGAUGCUUGCUUUCGAUACGGGCAGACUUGAGGUACUCAGGGGAGAAUGGAAUUCCUGGUGUAGCGGUGAAAUGCGCAGAUAUCAGGAGGAACACCGGUGGCGAAGGCGGUUCUCUGGGAGUUACCUGACGCUGAGGAGCGAAAGUGUGGGGAGCGAACAGGAUUAGAUACCCCAGUAGUC
This 300-nucleotide ribosomal RNA is filed under the name uncultured archaeon. Its description in RNAcentral is "partial 16S ribosomal RNA". It matches the Rfam family "Bacterial small subunit ribosomal RNA", at positions 496 to 795 of the family's 1533-position model. The record is from RNAcentral.